Molecule: ribosomal RNA, 253 nt
Filed under: uncultured bacterium
Lineage: Bacteria
Description: partial 16S ribosomal RNA
Rfam family: Bacterial small subunit ribosomal RNA
Source: RNAcentral
UACGAAGGGGGCUAGCGUUGUUCGGAAUCACUGGGCUUAAAGGGCGCGUAGGCGGCUUACCAAGUCAGGGGUGAAAUUUUGCGGCUUAACCGUAACAGUGCCUUUGAUACUGGUAGGCUCGAGGGGGACAGGGGUCCGCGGAACUUCUGGUGGAGCGGUGAAAUGCGUUGAUAUCAGAAGGAACGCCGGUGGCGAAAGCGGCGGACUGGAUCCUUUCUGACGCUGAGGCGCGAAAGCUAGGGGAGCAAACGGG